GGAAGUAUGGCUCAAAUGAUAGAGUACUUGCAUAGCAAGUGUGAGACUCUGAGUUCAAAUCUCAGCACUAUUA
RNAcentral lists this transfer RNA (73 nucleotides) under Dipodomys ordii (Ord's kangaroo rat). It matches the Rfam family "tRNA". Rfam says of the family: Transfer RNA (tRNA) molecules are approximately 80 nucleotides in length. Lineage: Eukaryota; Metazoa; Chordata; Mammalia; Rodentia; Heteromyidae. The record is from Rfam by way of RNAcentral.